Molecule: ribosomal RNA, 465 nt
Filed under: Vreelandella stevensii
Lineage: Bacteria; Pseudomonadati; Pseudomonadota; Gammaproteobacteria; Oceanospirillales; Halomonadaceae
Description: partial 16S ribosomal RNA
Rfam family: Bacterial small subunit ribosomal RNA
Source: RNAcentral
CCUACGGGGGGCUGCAGUGGGGAAUAUUGGACAAUGGGGGCAACCCUGAUCCAGCCAUGCCGCGUGUGUGAAGAAGGCCCUCGGGUUGUAAAGCACUUUCAGUGAGGAAGAACGCCUGGUGGUUAAUACCCAUCAGGAAAGACAUCACUCACAGAAGAAGCACCGGCUAACUCCGUGCCAGCAGCCGCGGUAAUACGGAGGGUGCGAGCGUUAAUCGGAAUUACUGGGCGCAAAGCGCGCGUAGGUGGCUUGAUAAGCCGGUUGUGAAAGCCCCGGGCUCAACCUGGGAACGGCAUCCGGAACUGUCAAGCUAGAGUGCAGGAGAGGAAGGUAGAAUUCCCGGUGUAGCGGUGAAAUGCGUAGAGAUCGGGAGGAAUACCAGUGGCGAAGGCGGCCUUCUGGACUGACACUGACACUGAGGUGCGAAAGCGUGGGUAGCAAACAGGAUUAGAUACCCCUGUAGUC